CCUUUAGGUCUGACAUAACCUAUCGAAAGGUAGGCUAAUUUCAGAUGAUGCAGCGGCUCGACAUCGAGACAGUUGUUAAACCUUCGGGGCCUAAAGAUGAGCCUGCGUCUGAUUAGGUAGUUGGCGAAGUAAAAGCCCACCAAGCCUGCGAUCAGUAGCUGGUCUGAGAGGAUGAUCAGCCACACUGGAACUGAGACACGGUCCAG
RNAcentral lists this ribosomal RNA (206 nucleotides) under uncultured bacterium. RNAcentral describes it as "partial 16S ribosomal RNA". It matches the Rfam family "Bacterial small subunit ribosomal RNA", at positions 129 to 334 of the family's 1533-position model. The record is from RNAcentral.